Malus domestica (apple) is the source of this 135-nucleotide non-coding RNA. RefSeq annotates it as microRNA MIR164d. The record is from RefSeq and is marked provisional. Lineage: Eukaryota; Viridiplantae; Streptophyta; Magnoliopsida; Rosales; Rosaceae.
UGGGUGAGUAGCUCCUGUUGGAGAAGCAGGGCACGUGCAAAUUCUAGCUCAAGCACUUCCUCCCUGGGAGCUUAGCUUAAGAUUUAACAAAGCUUUGCACGUGCUCCCCUUCUCCAACACAAGUUUCUCACCUCA